RNAcentral lists this ribosomal RNA (269 nucleotides) under Scutellospora sp. RNAcentral's name for it is "partial large subunit ribosomal RNA". The record is from RNAcentral. Lineage: Eukaryota; Fungi; Glomeromycota; Glomeromycetes; Diversisporales; Gigasporaceae.
CAGUCAUGUUGGUAGGGAAUCAACUUAGGGGAAACUCUGAGUGCACUUCUUCGCUUGGCAGGUUAGCGUCGAUUUUGGAUGUCAUAAAAUGACUGGGGGAAGGUAGCUCUUUCGGGAGUGUUAAGCCCUUUGUAGAUGUGAUGUCUGGGAUCGAGGAUUGCAACGGAUACCCUUUGGGCUAGCCGCCUAGUCUCUAAUACGAAGUUGGGUUAUGGACAGCACGCUGACUGUGAUCUGAUUUUCGGUUAAAAGAUUAGAGCGAGCAUAAA